This 820-nucleotide long non-coding RNA is filed under the name Rattus norvegicus (Norway rat). RNAcentral's name for it is "long non-coding RNA NONRATT003547". Lineage: Eukaryota; Metazoa; Chordata; Mammalia; Rodentia; Muridae. The record is from RNAcentral.
CAUCAUCUCCUUGAAUCAUACAAUUAGGUAAUGGGAGAGGGAGGGAAGCCUGAUAGGGACUAUCUGCCCCUCUGUAGGGGACAGGUCAUUUGAGUUCCCACUGUGUCGCCUUCCUCUGGCCCUUAUCGCUAAGGACAUAAAUGUGCUUAAGAGCAUGUCCCUUCUUCCUCACAAGUUUUUUUUUUUUAAACCUUACAGCUGCUCUGAAGCCCAGAAAAUCUCAUGGAAACCUCCAGGAACUGCUGUGCAGUUUUACUCCAACCUACACAAUGCUGAAGUGAGACAAAGGGAUAUGUUAAGAUUAAGCAACUGUAGUUUGAGUGUUCACCAUGUAAUAUGUGCUUGGGUGUACUUCAGUCACAAGCUCAAAGUAGCUAUGGGACUUGUCACCUUAAUCUGAUCAGACAAUGUUGUGUGGGUAGGCCUGGAUUGGAGAUGGCUUCCCUCCUCAUACUCCUGUUCUCUCUCACAGACCUCUUCUUGGGUGAAUCUGAUAUUGUGGUGUCUGGCCUUGAUGCUCCAGGUCAUGCAGUGCAAGUUUCAAGCGACACCAUACCAGCCCCAGGAGAGGGGUGACCCAGAGUGGAGCUCUGAGACUGAUGCUCUUGUUGGGCACCGCCAGUCUCACUCCUGAAGAAUAUCGAGUGCUUUCUGCAACCAGAACCUCCAAGCCCAAUUGCUUUUAAUCUUCUUGUCUCUGUACAGCCCUGUUUAUAUUGGAAACCUCAGUUUUCCCUCCAGGAGGGAAACAUUCGAAUAGGCCACUUCUGCUUUUUCUCCUUAACUUUUUUGUACCAAAAUAAUAUAUUACUUUUCUUCA